RNAcentral lists this ribosomal RNA (492 nucleotides) under uncultured bacterium. Its description in RNAcentral is "partial 16S ribosomal RNA". It matches the Rfam family "Bacterial small subunit ribosomal RNA", at positions 29 to 507 of the family's 1533-position model. The record is from RNAcentral.
AGUGAACGCUGGCGGUAGGCCUAACACAUGCAAGUCGAACGGCAGCACAGUAAGAGCUUGCUCUUACGGGUGGCGAGUGGCGGACGGGUGAGGAAUACAUCGGAAUCUACUUUUUCGUGGGGGAUAACGUAGGGAAACUUACGCUAAUACCGCAUACGACCUACGGGUGAAAGCAGGGGAUCUUCGGACCUUGCGCGAUUGAAUGAGCCGAUGUCGGAUUAGCUAGUUGGCGGGGUAAAGGCCCACCAAGGCGACGAUCCGUAGCUGGUCUGAGAGGAGGAUCAGCCACACUGGAACUGAGACACGGUCCAGACUCCUACGGGAGGCAUCAGUGGGGAAUAUUGGACGAUGGGCGCAAGCCUGAUCCAGCCAAACCGCGUGGGUGAAGAAGGCCUUCGGGUUGUAAAGCCCUUUUGUUGGGAAAGAAAAGCAGCAGGUUAAUACCCCGCUGUUCUGACGGUACCCAAAGAAUAAGCACCGGCUAACUUCGUG